Long non-coding RNA from Canis lupus familiaris (dog), 254 nucleotides. RefSeq lists it as uncharacterized. The record is from RefSeq and is a predicted model, not a curated record. The transcript has 3 exons. NCBI's taxonomy places the organism in Eukaryota, Metazoa, Chordata, Mammalia, Carnivora, Canidae.
UGUUCUAGAGGAAUGGAGGAGUCAACUGAGAGCACAAAUAAAAAUUGAGGAAUCUCUCCCAUUUGGCCACAUGGAGCACACUGCUGGCUGUAUCCAAGGCAGUUUGCGCAGAAAUGAAUGGCACAGGACUGGAUGGAAGAGGAGGUGACCGCAGGCGAGGACACGCUCAGACGUUUUCCCGAAGCGCAUGUGAGCGAUGCAAUAUUGCUUAUCGAAACGUCGGGUAGCAGCUAUCUUCAUGCCACACAUCCGUC